This 495-nucleotide ribosomal RNA is filed under the name uncultured bacterium. RNAcentral describes it as "partial 16S ribosomal RNA". It matches the Rfam family "Bacterial small subunit ribosomal RNA", at positions 28 to 507 of the family's 1533-position model. The record is from RNAcentral.
GACGAACGCUGGCGGCGUGCCUAAUACAUGCAAGUAGAACGCUGAAGGAGGAGCUUGCUUCUCCGGAUGAGUUGCGAACGGGUGAGUAACGCGUAGGUAACCUGCCUGGUAGCGGGGGAUAACUAUUGGAAACGAUAGCUAAUACCGCAUAAGAGUAGAUGUCGCAUGACAUUUGCUUAAAAGGUGCAACUGCACCACUACCAGAUGGACCUGCGUUGUAUUAGCUAGUUGGUGAGGUAACGGCUCACCAAGGCAACGAUACAUAGCCGACCUGAGAGGGUGAUCGGCCACACUGGGACUGAGACACGGCCCAGACUCCUACGGGAGGCAGCAGUAGGGAAUCUUCGGCAAUGGACGGAAGUCUGACCGAACAACGCCGCGUGAGUGAAGAAGGUUUUCGGAUCGUAAAGCUCUGUUGUAAGAGAAGAAAGAGUGUGAGAGUGGAAAGUUCACACUGUGACGGUAUCUUACCAGAAAGGGACGGCUAACUACGUG